Molecule: non-coding RNA, 159 nt
Filed under: Lentisphaerota bacterium
Lineage: Bacteria; Pseudomonadati; Lentisphaerota
Description: Lentisphaerae bacterium FMN sequence
Rfam family: FMN riboswitch aptamer (RFN element)
About the family: The RFN element is a highly conserved domain that is found frequently in the 5'-untranslated regions of prokaryotic mRNAs that encode for flavin mononucleotide (FMN) biosynthesis and transport proteins. This element is a metabolite-dependent riboswitch that directly binds FMN in the absence of proteins. In Bacillus subtilis, the riboswitch most likely controls gene expression by causing premature transcription termination within the 5' untranslated region of the ribDEAHT operon and precluding access to the ribosome-binding site of ypaA mRNA.
Source: RNAcentral
AAGAAUCUUCGGGGCAAGGUGAUCCUGCGUAAGCGGGAAAUUCCUGACCGGCGGUGCAAGCCCGCGACUCUUCCACGUGUGUGGAGGAUUGAUACGGUCGAUCGUUGAAAAGACGAGUAUCCGUAGCCGACAGUAUAGUCUGGAUGAAAGAAGACGAUC